This is an RNA transcript of Cucurbita pepo subsp. pepo (vegetable marrow), 905 nucleotides long. It is a transcript of the gene named peptidyl-prolyl cis-trans isomerase CYP18-1, with no coding region annotated. The record is from RefSeq and is a predicted model, not a curated record. Lineage: Eukaryota; Viridiplantae; Streptophyta; Magnoliopsida; Cucurbitales; Cucurbitaceae.
CGCACGUUCGCAGAGCGGAUCUAAAAAUGUCUGUUACUUUGCACACAAAUCUCGGCGACAUCAAGUGCGAGAUCUUUUGCGAUGAAGUCCCGAAAUCUGCCGAGAACUUUUUGGCACUAUGUGCUAGUGGCUACUAUGAUGGAACCAUAUUCCACCGAAACAUCAAAGGUUUUAUGAUACAAGGUGGAGAUCCAACAGGCACGGGAAAAGGAGGAACCAGCAUAUGGGGCAAAAAGUUCAAUGACGAGAUAAGAGAGUCGCUCAAGCACAAUGCAAGAGGGAUAUUAUCAAUGGCUAAUAGUGGAGCAAAUACGAACGGAAGCCAAUUUUUUAUAACUUACGCAAAGCAGCCACAUCUGAAUGGAUUAUACACUGUGUUCGGCAGAGUGAUUCAUGGGUUUGAAGUACUUGAUAUCAUGGAAAAGACUCAAACUGGAUCGGGAGAUCGUCCUCUCGCCGAGAUCAGGCUCAAUCGGGUGACGAUACAUGCUAAUCCUCUUGCGGGUUAACCUUUGAACAUUGGAUGAAAGUCUCAUUAUUCAAGAAGUGGCAUUUAGCGUUAGCAUGAAAAGCUCUGCUAAUCUGAGAGGGGUUCAAAAGACAGAAUUAGAAGUAAACCAUACAAAACUAACAGAGAACGGGCUUGCAGAGAAUUGGAGGGUGAGAUCCAAGAAGUGGUUCAAUCAUUGCUUCAUUGAAACUCAUAUUCGGAAGCAUAAUAAUACCCAAAGAGCAGUGGGAGGUGGCACCUCAUCCUCUUGGAUUGGCUUCCUCCUUGUCACACAGGUAUUGACUUCUCACUCAUCCCACUUCAUCUUCAACUAAUUAUGGCUUCCCAUUGUCUGGACUUUUGCUUCAAAUAAUAAUUACUCAAACGAACAUAUAUUUUUUAUUUAUCAUAUCUA